This 438-nucleotide ribosomal RNA is filed under the name Tortigonalia treva. RNAcentral describes it as "partial large subunit ribosomal RNA". The record is from RNAcentral. Lineage: Eukaryota; Metazoa; Arthropoda; Insecta; Hemiptera; Cicadellidae.
UCCUGCCCUAUGAUUAUUUAAAUGGCUGCAGUAUCCUGACUGUGCAAAGGUAGCAUAAUAAUUAGUCUUUUAAUUGAGGACUUGUAUGAAUGGAUUAAUGAGAAAUUUAUUUUAUUUUUAAUAUUAUUAUAAUUUUAUUCUUAAGUAAAAAAGCUUAAUUUAUUUUCUGGGACGAUAAGACCCUAUAGAACUUUAUUAUUUUUCUAAUUUAUUUAUUUUAGACUUUUUUUAAUUUAAUUUGAUUUCAUUGUUUUGUUGGGGCGGUAAAUAAAUUUUAAACUUUAUUUCUAAAAAUCAUUUUUUUAUGUUAAUUUGAUCCGAUAUUUUGAUUGAAAGAUUAAGUUACCUUAGGGAUAACAGCGUAAUUUUAAUGGGGAGUUCUUAUUUAUAUUAAAGUUUGCGACCUCGAUGUUGAAUUAAGAUAAGAUUGAGGGGUAG